Long non-coding RNA from Liolophura sinensis, 260 nucleotides. RefSeq lists it as uncharacterized. The transcript has 3 exons. The record is from RefSeq and is a predicted model, not a curated record. Lineage: Eukaryota; Metazoa; Mollusca; Polyplacophora; Chitonida; Chitonidae.
UGAAGAUGAAGUUCGUCUCAGACACGACUUAUUCCACAACCACAGUGCUGCUAUACGCCCGUGCUCAACAAGUCCACGGUCACUGAGAUAGAUAUGAUGUAUCACUUACAAAGCAUUGUUGAUCUGGACGAAAGAAAGCAGAUAUUGAUGACGUCAGGUUUCUUCAGUAUCCUAUGGACAGACGAAACCCUUAAGUGGGAUCCAGCACAGUAUGGUGGACAGAGGUUGAUACUGGUAAAUCCAGAUGACAUAUGGAAGCC